GACGAACUCUGGCGGCGCGCCUAACACAUGCAAGUCGAACGAGAGAUGAGGAGCUUGCUCUUCAAAUCGAGUGGCGAACGGGUGAGUAACGCGUGAGGAACCUGCCUUAAAGAGGGGGACAACAGUUGGAAACGACUGCUAAUACCGCAUAAGCCCACGGCUCGGCAUCGAGCAGAGGGAAAAGGAGCAAUCCGCUUUGAGAUGGCCUCGCGUCCGAUUAGCUAGUUGGUGAGGUAACGGCCCACCAAGGCGACGAUCGGUAGCCGGACUGGGAGGUUGAACGGCCACAUUGGGACUGAGACACGGCCCAGACUCCUACGGGAGGCAGCAGUGGGGAAUAUUGCACAAUGGGGGAAACCCUGAUGCAGCGACGCCGCGUGGAGGAAGAAGGUCUUCGGAUUGUAAACUCCUGUUGUUGAGGAAGAUAAUGACGGUACUCAACAAGGAAGUGACGGCUAACUACGUGCCAGCAGCCGCGGUAAAACGUAGGUCACAAGCGUUGUCCGGAAUUACUGGGUGUAAAGGGAGCGCAGGCGGGAGAACAAGUUGGAAGUGAAAUCCAUGGGCUCAACCCAUGAACUGCUUUCAAAACUGUUUUUCUUGAGUAGUGCAGAGGUAGGCGGAAUUCCCGGUGUAGCGGUGGAAUGCGUAGAUAUCGGGAGGAACACCAGUGGCGAAGGCGGCCUACUGGGCACCAACUGACGCUGAGGCUCGAAAGUGUGGGUAGCAAACAGGAUUAGAUACCCUGGUAGUCCACACCGUAAACGAUGAUUACUAGGUGUGGGAGGAAUUGACCCCUUCAGUGCCGCAGUUAACACAAUAAGUAAUCCACCUGGGGAGUACGACCGCAAGGUUGAAACUCAAAGGAAUUGACGGGGGCCCGCACAAGCAGUGGAGUAUGUGGUUUAAUUCGACGCAACGCGAAGAACCUUACCAAGUCUUGACAUCCCUUGACGAUGCUGGAAACAGUAUUUCUCUUCGGAGCAAGGAGACAGGUGGUGCAUGGUUGUCGUCAGCUCGUGUCGUGAGAUGUUGGGUUAAGUCCCGCAACGAGCGCAACCCUUAUGGUCAGUUACUACGCAAGAGGACUCUGGCCAGACUGCCGUUGACAAAACGGAGGAAGGUGGGGAUGACGUCAAAUCAUCAUGCCCUUUAUGACUUGGGCUACACACGUACUACAAUGGCGUUAAACAAAGAGAAGCAAGACCGCGAGGUGGAGCAAAACUCAGAAACAACGUCCCAGUUCGGACUGCAGGCUGCAACUCGCCUGCACGAAGUCGGAAUUGCUAGUAAUCGUGGAUCAGCAUGCCACGGUGAAUACGUUCCCGGGCCUUGCACA
Molecule: ribosomal RNA, 1339 nt
Filed under: uncultured bacterium
Lineage: Bacteria
Description: bacterial SSU rRNA
Rfam family: Bacterial small subunit ribosomal RNA
Source: RNAcentral